RNAcentral lists this unclassified non-coding RNA (234 nucleotides) under Ambisporaceae sp. RNAcentral's name for it is "partial internal transcribed spacer 2". The stretch from base 1 to 71 matches the Rfam family "5.8S ribosomal RNA", at positions 84 to 154 of the family's 154-position model. The record is from RNAcentral. Lineage: Eukaryota; Fungi; Glomeromycota; Glomeromycetes; Archaeosporales; Ambisporaceae.
GUGAAUCAUCGAAUUUUUGAACGCAUAUUGCACUCUCUGGUAUUCCGGAGCGUGUGUCUGGUUGAGGGUAAUUAAAAAGAAUCUUUAACCAAUUUUUUGGGUCAAAGGAUAUGAGUUUUCCGCGUUUAUAGCGGUAGCUUGAAAUACAUGGUCAAGUCUCAUUUUCGUCGCGACGCGUAAUAAUAUUAUUUCGCGAAAUUAUCAUUUUGUGAUAAUGAAGUUUUGAUGAAUAGA